UACGGAGGGUGCAAGCGUUAUCCGGAUUCACUGGGUUUAAAGGGUGCGUAGGUGGGUCUGUAAGUCAGUGGUGAAAUCCCCGGGCUCAACCCGGGAACUGCGUCUGAUACUGGAAGGCUUGAAUCCGGGAGAGGGAUGUGGAAUUCCAGGUGUAGCGGUGAAAUGCGUAGAUAUCUGGAGGAACACCGGUGGCGAAGGCGGCAUCCUGGACCGGUAUUGACGCUGAGGCGCGAAAGCGUGGGGAGCAAACAGG
RNAcentral lists this ribosomal RNA (253 nucleotides) under uncultured bacterium. RNAcentral describes it as "partial 16S ribosomal RNA". It matches the Rfam family "Bacterial small subunit ribosomal RNA", at positions 524 to 776 of the family's 1533-position model. The record is from RNAcentral.